ACCAGACUCCUACGGGAGGCAGCAGUGGGGGAUAUUGCACAAUGGGGGGAACCCUGAUGCAGCGACGCCGCGUGGGUGAAGAAGCGCCUCGGCGCGUAAAGCCCUAUCGGCAGGGAAGAAGGAGGACGGUACCUGACUAAGAAGCCCCGGCUAACUACGUGCCAGCAGCCGCGGUAAUACGUAGGGGGCAAGCGUUAUCCGGAUUUACUGGGUGUAAAGGGGGCGCAGACGGCAGCGCAAGCCAGGAGUGAAAGCCCGGGGCCCAACCCCGGGACUGCUCUUGGAACUGCGCGGCUGGAGUGCAGGAGGGGCAGGCGGAAUUCCUGGUGUAGCGGUGAAAUGCGUAGAUAUCAGGAGGAACACCGGUGGCGAAGGCGGCCUGCUGGACUGCGACUGACGUUGAGGCCCGAAAGCGUGGGGAGCAAACAGGAUUAGAUACCCCAGUA
This 446-nucleotide ribosomal RNA is filed under the name uncultured bacterium. Its description in RNAcentral is "partial 16S ribosomal RNA". It matches the Rfam family "Bacterial small subunit ribosomal RNA", at positions 330 to 792 of the family's 1533-position model. The record is from RNAcentral.